CAACUGUCCCUGCACACACUACGAAGCUGCUGCGGGAAGCAAAUCAGUAGGGAGACGAGAUGUGUAGAAUCAUGUACGUCGUUAAGUGCUGCUUAUUUUCAUGUGUCCUUCUACAACUUUGCAGUGCACAGAACCUUAACUGCACCAUCACCCAUUAUGCAGACCGAACAUUCUACAACGUCUCAGACGGGUCUCGGGUCUUUGAUGUCAAGGAAUCCAACUGCCCAUUCUCGUGGGCCAACGGAACUGACCAUGUGUUGGCACAUCAAAGCAGUAGAGACCCUGACCUGGUGAUGGACUCCAACAUCAACCAUCUCAUCACCUCAAAAUGCUUUCAAAUCAUUUUGUUUAAACGUCACUGCCCUUCUGAGGGGACAGAUUACACAGCUAACUGCAUAACCAACUGCACUCUAACUUCUCUCGGAACAUCUCAGGAAACAAAAGAGAGUCCUACUGUUGGUAUUACUGUUGCUGUCCUGUUGCUGGUCGGGCUCUUCUUCGUCCUCCUUAGUGCCUUGUGCUACAAAUGCAGAAAGAGAAUUCCAGGAUAUGCAGCUUGUAUCUCACGACGCCUCUACACUUCGCCUGUGAAGUUGUAGAACGUUGCCUUCACAGCAGUUUAGGAUGGUAGCUCAAGACUGAAAUCUAAAGUAGUUCAGUAUACUGUGGCACGCCAUGUAUAGGCAUUAUGACCUAUUCAUGCUGAAAACUAUAGUCAUGCUUUUUAAUCAUUCCUACAUUAUCUCUGCUGCACUACUCUUUACAUUUGGCCAAAAUCAGUGUGUUGUGCCUUUCUUUAGGGAACCAUCUUUUCCCUGUUUAAAAAAAAUGACACACCCUUUUUUAAAUCCGUAUUUCAGCUACCUAAAUUGUGUUAUCUAUUCAUGUCACAGUUUAAACUGUGUUGCUGUAACAAUGUAUGGGAUUAGUAGCCCAAUCAUGUAUUAGCAUCGCUGAUCAGUUCUUAAUUUGGUUCUAAAAACCCACAUCCACUACCAUCAUGUUAACAAGCCAUUGCUGCAAGAAAAGGUUCCAGGGAAACACUUUAUCAUAUAUGGUUUUGCUUUUAUAUAUUAUCUAAGGCUGUACACUUUACAAAUGAAUGUAAUCAGUUAAGGACAAUGUGUACACACAUGUGAUUUGGGAUACAUGUGGUUAUCACUCAAGCAAAGACCGUCAGUGUGACAGAUGUUGAGUUACAGUGACACUGUAAGCUUCAUUCACUGUGUCAUUGUUACAUUUGAGACAUAAUCCACCACAGUUGUCUUUAGAUGUAUAUCUGACUGGAUAUGGAACACUUAAUAAUAGUACUUAAUAUUCCCUUGAUAAUAGUUGCACAGCCAUUAGUUGGCUAUGAUGUUUUGGUGCACAGAUACAUAGUUAUUGAGGCUGUGGAAGCAGACAGACAGCUAGUAUACUUUUAGGACCAACGCCCAGUAGCAAUGCAGUAACCUCCCCAGGUCCAGGACCUCAUAUUGGUGUUAACGGGAACCAAAGCUGUGGAAGUUCGGAGACUCGUAAUGCAGCACCAGGGCGUGCCCAUUCAGUGUCCUGUAGCAGUACAACUCUUAAUAUUCAUCUGAAGCCUUAAGUCAUUCCCUGCACAGAGAAAUAUACAUGUUUUUAUUUUUAUAUUUCUCAUAUAUAUUAAUAGAUAUAUUUGUACUGAUGGAUAAUACAAUAAAUAUAUAAUAUAGUAAGUAAAUAAUGUUAGCAUAUUUAUAUCUGAAUAUAUAUAUAUAUUAUAUUUUAUACACUAUACUAUAAUUAUAAAUACACUGAAAGGGUUUGGAUGUAAUAAUGUGUGCAAUGUAAUUCUAUCCAAUACAAUUGUUUGUGACGUAAUGAAGAUAUAGUCGUAUUGGAGGUUGUAAGGAGGUUGUAAGUCAUUGUAUGUCUUUUAUUCUUCAAUUAUACGCCAUGAGUCUCCCUGUAAACUUCUUCUCUUCAAUAAAAAGAUACAUUUUCAAAACAAGAGUUUUUAUUUUUAUUGUCUACUGUAAUG
Molecule: long non-coding RNA, 2005 nt
Filed under: Cottoperca gobio
Lineage: Eukaryota; Metazoa; Chordata; Actinopteri; Perciformes; Bovichtidae
Description: lncRNA (ENSCGOG00000018024.1)
Source: RNAcentral